This 1281-nucleotide long non-coding RNA is filed under the name Homo sapiens (human). RNAcentral describes it as "HSALNT0403683". The record is from RNAcentral. Lineage: Eukaryota; Metazoa; Chordata; Mammalia; Primates; Hominidae.
CCGCCCGCCCGCUGAAGGCCCCGCCCCCGGCGCCGAAGCCCCGCCCUGCCGCCCUCGAAGCCUCUGUCAGCGAACGAGCGCGCGCAAUAGCGCGGGGCAGGGGUCGCCGCGGCCGGAAGCCCACGCGGGGGGUUGCAGGGACGGGUCGUAAGGGGCGGGGCGGGCCUCGAGGAGGCGGCGGUGGGGUCCCCGGACCUCCGCGCGUGGCACAGCCCGCAUCCUGAACUGACUCCCACUCGAGGACCACCUCUCCUCUCCCUUCUGAGGGCGGAACGGAAAGGCCAAGCGCCUCCUCGCCUCGGGAGCUGCAGGACGCCCUAAUUCAGCCGAGUCGCCGCGUGCCCGGGUGCCCGCGAACAGCAGGAGAGAGGACGGGCGCUGGCCCCACAGGGGUCGCUUUACCCCUUGAAGAGCUCCUCGCUGCCUGCCCUGGGGGUGGUGGGCGUCCAGGUUCACAGGGUACUUGAGCUUGCUGGGGUGGGGGUGUGUAUGAAGUGCGUCCAGGGUUUUGUGGAGCGCGUCUAGCAGUUGCUCUACUUCUUACUGACAGUGAAACAAGGGCGCCCACGACAGGUGUUCCCUUUUCGCUGUCGCUGCCAGGAAGCUUCCAGCCAGGUUCAGCGCCCAGUGGUGUCAGCCGGCCCAUCUCGAGCCUUGGUUCCGCUGUCAUCUUCUGGUGCUUAUUCUGGUGUUUAUCCAACUGUCCGUUUUGAAAUUAUGUUCCCAAGCCAUUUAACACCUCUGGAGAACCAAAGCACUGGCUGUCAGCGGAGCGGGAUGCACGCGCAGCGGAGGGGACUGGGCACGCCAACCCCACGAGGGUUCCUGCGGAGAUGACACGGACCUUGAGGUCUGAAGCCAAAGGACGAUUUGUGUGAAGGGAUUUUAUUGUUAGCUUUGGAGCCAGCAACAAGAACACAGCCCUGGAGUUCCCGGGGCAAAAAGGAUACCAAGAUAAUAAUUCAGAGUCUUCACAGCACAUUGAGGAAGAUGUUAUUACCACUUUACAAAUGAAGAAUCCAAAGCUUGAAGAGGUUAAAGGACUUCCUCAAUAAUGCAAAGAUAGUAAGGGGUAAUGCCAGGAUUCAACUCAGACACACUGACUGCUGUUGCAGACCUCCAUGUGAUAACUCAUAAUAAUAACGCCAACUAUGCUAUUAGGUAGGAUUGUUGUGAAUACUCAUUGAAAUCGUUCAUAUAAAAGCCCAUCACACCUUGCCUGGCCAGGUAGCAAGAGCUCAAGGAAUGCUGUGAUUAUGCAGUAGUUGUGCCAAGAUGCAG